UUCUUUUAUCUAAAAAUACUCCUUAAGACAUCUAAAGAAAUACUAAAUUCCUUACCGAAACCUUGAUAUUUUCUCCUUCACUGUUCUCCUUUUCUUUCUCUCCUUCUCUCUCUAGAUCACUCUUUCACUCCUUCUUUCUCUCUAAUUCUUGAAAAAUGGAAGAAUCAAAGUGUGGGGAAGAAUGGGAAGGGAAGACCUAUUUAUAGAAAUUAAGAAUCAUCUAAUUUGCACCAACUGGCAUAAUUUGAUGAAGAGAGAGAAGAAAAAGAUACUCAGCACUAAAAAUGAGGGAGAAAAGUCUCCUCUGCUAGCGGUGGUCAUGCGCCACCUAAGGCAAUGGUAGUGCAAUGCCCGAGGCGGCGGUGGCCCACCCGGCGUGCUGCAGGCUAGUCUGUAGGCGCAUAGGCUUCCUGUUGUGCGUGCAGGCCCCAGGUGCACAGGGGCUUAUUCUCGCAGGCCUACUGCGCGGACUGCACACGCACAGUGUGCGGCAUCCGUCCAUGUGCAAGGUGACAUGCGAACGACCCGCCU
This 531-nucleotide long non-coding RNA is filed under the name Carica papaya (papaya). Its description in RNAcentral is "long non-coding RNA (CPAP_LNC016396)". The record is from RNAcentral. Lineage: Eukaryota; Viridiplantae; Streptophyta; Magnoliopsida; Brassicales; Caricaceae.